AUGUUGUUGAACUGGGGAACACGGUUUAGUAUAAUCAAAGGGGUUGCAAGGGGUCUUCUCUAUCUUCAUGAAGAUUCAAGGUUAACCAUAAUUCACAGGGAUCUCAAGGCUGGAAAUAUUUUGCUAGAUGCAAAUCUGAAACCUAAGAUUGCAGAUUUUGGUAUGACGAGGAUCUUUGGUGAAAACCAACAAAAUGCAAAUACCCAACGUGUUGUUGGAACGUAUGGCUACAUGGCCCCUGAGUAUGCAAUGGAAGGCAUUUUCUCUAUGAAGUCUGACAUCUACAGCUUCGGCGUGUUACUACUAGAGGUUGUAACCGGUAUAAGGAGAAACUCUAAUGGACACACAAUGAGUUUUCCUGGUCUCACGGUUUAUGCAUGGAAUAUGUGGAAGGAAGGAAAGACAGAGGAACUGGCAGACUCGUCUCUCAUGGAUAACCAUUCACCAAAUGAAGUUUUGCUCUGCAUCCAUGUGGGACUCAUGUGUGUCCAAGAAAACCCAGCUGACAGGCCACUCAUGUCAAAUGUUGUGUUCGUCUGGGAGAUCGGAAGCACAACACUUCCAGCCCCCAACCUCCCUGCCUACUUUGCACGACGAAGCGGGAAAAUAGAGGAAAACAGGGUUGAUAUUCGAAACUCCGUGAAUAGUUUUACUCUUUCUGAGAUACAAGGGCGGUGA
Molecule: ribosomal RNA, 678 nt
Filed under: Triticum aestivum (bread wheat)
Lineage: Eukaryota; Viridiplantae; Streptophyta; Magnoliopsida; Poales; Poaceae
Description: partial small subunit ribosomal RNA
Source: RNAcentral